This 457-nucleotide ribosomal RNA is filed under the name uncultured bacterium. RNAcentral's name for it is "partial 16S ribosomal RNA". It matches the Rfam family "Bacterial small subunit ribosomal RNA", at positions 355 to 823 of the family's 1533-position model. The record is from RNAcentral.
UGGGGAAUAUUGCACAAUGGGCGAAAGCCUGAUGCAGCAACGCCGCGUGAGGGACGACGGCCUUCGGGUUGUAAACCUCUUUUAGCAAGGAAGAAGCGAAAGUGACGGUACUUGCAGAAAAAGCGCCGGCUAACUACGUGCCAGCAGCCGCGGUAAUACGUAGGGCGCAAGCGUUAUCCGGAAUUAUUGGGCGUAAAGAGCUCGUAGGCGGUUUGUCGCGUCUGCUGUGAAAACCCGAGGCUCAACCUCGGGCCUGCAGUGGGUACGGGCAGACUAGAGUGCGGUAGGGGAGAUUGGAACUCCUGGUGUAGCGGUGGAAUGCGCAGAUAUCAGGAAGAACACCGAUGGCGAAGGCAGAUCUCUGGGCCGUAACUGACGCUGAGGAGCGAAAGGGUGGGGAGCAAACAGGCUUAGAUGACCCUGGUAGUCCACCCCGUAAACGCUGGGAACUAGUUGU